Molecule: unclassified non-coding RNA, 814 nt
Filed under: Bombus terrestris (buff-tailed bumblebee)
Lineage: Eukaryota; Metazoa; Arthropoda; Insecta; Hymenoptera; Apidae
Description: misc RNA ENSBTSG00005033695.1
Source: RNAcentral
CACCUACAACAUCGAUUCGCUUAUUACAAAUCGCUUUCACUUCAAUCAGUUACGAAUUUUUUUCAUCAUUUCCUAUGUCGUUCCGCGAUAGUUUCACGAACAUCGCAUAACUCCGAUGUAGCGCAACGCGUGAGACGCGCUCUUUUCCUAGAGGCGGCCUCUUGUGCGCGCCGCGCUACCUCUGGCUCGUUUCUACAGAACGCCCAAAAAGAUCGAACUCGGAGAAACUGUGACGCACUUCACCUCACUGCCACUGUCACUUCCGAGAAUUCUCAAAAAAUCGUUUGCAUCGCCGAUUAACUUUCCAAACGAGCUGCUUUCACAAAUUAUUUCGACAAAAGCGAAGAGCGCGAAGCCGGGUGCGGCUACACGCCAGUGUGGACGGACCGCCGCUGGAGUACGGAACACGCGGAGCGCAGUUUUUGCGGGGACGGGUCCGUGCAGUAAAAGUCAAAGAUUGUCGACGCGUUUCACUAGUGGUUAAACGUUCCGCUAUUGGCGAGGACUUAGAAGGAAAUGACACGCUAUUGGCCAGCGAGAGUUGUGUAUACUUGGACGUAACCUAUCGCUUUGCUCCGUUGCGUUUACUAACGUAAUAUAAAGAUGCACAUAAGGAGGUUGCUUCGUUAAUGUUGGCGUCACCGCUAAACAGUUCUUCCGUUGACCGAGGCAAGAGGAUUUGGGCUUCGGUAGUUUUUUAAAUUCGCUGAAAGCGUCUUUCACGGACACGGUGUUACUGUGCACCAAAUUGAUGAUUUGAUAGUGCCAGGGCAAGUGAUAGUGCAAUAAAAGAAUUGAUUUAUUGUGAAACAAA